GUGGCUCGGGUGGAUGGUUGCGUCGCCCUCGCUCAGGCAAAGGUCACACGUUCGAAUCGUGUCGGGUGCGCCA
RNAcentral lists this transfer RNA (73 nucleotides) under Bradyrhizobium xenonodulans. Its description in RNAcentral is "Bradyrhizobium sp. 14AB tRNA-Ala". Lineage: Bacteria; Pseudomonadati; Pseudomonadota; Alphaproteobacteria; Hyphomicrobiales; Nitrobacteraceae. The record is from RNAcentral.